Molecule: non-coding RNA, 73 nt
Organism: Lineus longissimus
Lineage: Eukaryota; Metazoa; Nemertea; Pilidiophora; Heteronemertea; Lineidae
Source: the annotation of a RefSeq genome assembly
CUCUCUGUAGCUCAGUUGGUAGAGCGGAGGACUGUAGAUCCUUAGGUCACUGGUUCGAAUCCGGUCGGAGAGA